CCUACGGGAGGCAGCAGUGAGGAAUAUUGGUCAAUGGGCUUACGCCUGAACCAGCCAAGUCGCGUGAGGGAAGACUGCCCUAUGGGUUGUAAACCUCUUUUGUCAGGGAGCAACGCCGGCUACGUGUAGCCGGACUGAGAGUACCUGAAGAAAAAGCAUCGGCUAACUCCGUGCCAGCAGCCGCGGUAAUACGGAGGAUGCGAGCGUUAUCCGGAUUUAUUGGGUUAAAAGGGUGCGUAGGCGGAAUGCCAAGUCAGCGGUAAAAUCGAGGGGCUCAACCUCGCUCCGCCGUUGAAACUGGCGUGCUUGAGUGGGCGAGAAGUAUGCGGAAGGCGUGGUGUAGCGGUGAAAUGCAUAGAUAUCACGCAGAACUCCGAUUGCGAAGGCAGCAUACCGGCGCCCAACUGACGCUGAAGCACGAAAGCGUGGGUAUCGAACAGGAGUAGAUACCCUUGUAGUC
Molecule: ribosomal RNA, 460 nt
Filed under: uncultured bacterium
Lineage: Bacteria
Description: partial 16S ribosomal RNA
Rfam family: Bacterial small subunit ribosomal RNA
Source: RNAcentral